AAUGAAAUGCCUGAAUAAAGGGUUAUCUUGAUAGGGUAAAUCAUGUAAAUUUCCAUUACUUUCAUUG
RNAcentral lists this transfer RNA (67 nucleotides) under Sclerogryllus punctatus. RNAcentral describes it as "tRNA-Ile". Lineage: Eukaryota; Metazoa; Arthropoda; Insecta; Orthoptera; Gryllidae. The record is from RNAcentral.